UGGGGAAUAUUGGACAAUGGGCGAAAGCCUGAUCCAGCCAUGCCGCGUGUGUGAAGAAGGUCUUCGGAUUGUAAAGCACUUUAAGUUGGGAGGAAGGGCAGUUACCUAAUACGUAUCUGUUUUGACGUUACCGACAGAAUAAGCACCGGCUAACUCUGUGCCAGCAGCCGCGGUAAUACAGAGGGUGCAAGCGUUAAUCGGAAUUACUGGGCGUAAAGCGCGCGUAGGUGGUUUGUUAAGUUGGAUGUGAAAUCCCCGGGCUCAACCUGGGAACUGCAUUCAAAACUGACUGACUAGAGUAUGGUAGAGGGUGGUGGAAUUUCCUGUGUAGCGGUGAAAUGCGUAGAUAUAGGAAGGAACACCAGUGGCGAAGGCGACCACCUGGACUAAUACUGACACUGAGGUGCGAAAGCGUGGGGAGCAAACAGGAUUAGAUACCCCGGUAGUCCCUGAGCGGGCUGGCAAGGCGCAU
This 472-nucleotide ribosomal RNA is filed under the name uncultured bacterium. Its description in RNAcentral is "bacterial SSU rRNA". It matches the Rfam family "Bacterial small subunit ribosomal RNA", at positions 355 to 825 of the family's 1533-position model. The record is from RNAcentral.